This 507-nucleotide ribosomal RNA is filed under the name uncultured Sphingobacteriales bacterium. Its description in RNAcentral is "bacterial SSU rRNA". It matches the Rfam family "Bacterial small subunit ribosomal RNA", at positions 907 to 1382 of the family's 1533-position model. The record is from RNAcentral. Lineage: Bacteria; Pseudomonadati; Bacteroidota; Sphingobacteriia; Sphingobacteriales.
CCUUGCCAGCCCGCUCAGAAACUUAAAGUAGAAGUGACGGGGGCCCGGCACAAGCGGAGGAGCAUGUGGUUUAAUUCGAUGAUACGCGAGGAACCUUACCUGGGCUCGAACGUAAGAUGACUGUAAGGUGAAAGCUUACAUCUCUUCGGAGCAUUUUACGAGGUGCUGCAUGGUUGUCGUCAGCUCGUGCCGUGAGGUGUCGGGUUAAGUCCCAUAACGAGCGCAACCCCUACCUUUAGUUGCCAUCAGGUUAAGCUGGGGACUCUAAAGGAACUGCCUACGCAAGUAGUGAGGAAGGCGGGGAUGACGUCAAAUCAGCACGGCCCUUACGUCCAGGGCUACACACGUGCUACAAUGGCCGAUACAGAGGGCAGCUACCUGGUGACAGGAUGCAAAUCUCCAAAGUCGGUCUCAGUUCGGAUCGGAGUCUGCAACCCGACUCCGUGAAGUUGGAUUCGCUAGUAAUCGCGCAUCAGCCAUGGCGCGGUGAAUACGUUCCCGGGCCUU